Long non-coding RNA from Brassica napus (rape), 2773 nucleotides. RefSeq lists it as uncharacterized. The transcript is spliced from 4 exons. Lineage: Eukaryota; Viridiplantae; Streptophyta; Magnoliopsida; Brassicales; Brassicaceae. The record is from RefSeq and is a predicted model, not a curated record.
UUUAUGUCAAUAUCUUUAAAAAAUAAUAAUAUACUAUAUAAAAUAAAUAAAAUGAUUAUUCUGAUAUAUUUAUGUCAAUAUCUUUGAAAUAUAAUUAUAUACCAUAUAAAAUAAAUAAAAGUAUUAUUUUGAUUUGUUACCCAUAAAUAUAUUGUAAAUAAAAAAAUUGGUACUAUUUUGAUUUAUGUGAUUACUGUAAUCAUGGCAAAUUUUGAACCUGCCCCGGGCCCAGCCUGUUUGGACUUGCUGCGGGGCAGGAUUGGUCACUAAGAAUCAGACCCGAUUUUUCAGCAGGCCUCGCGGGAUGAGCUUGUGCGGGUCUGGGCCAGAAGCGGAAUGGGUUCGGUGUAUCCCGCGGGACGCGCGGGGAUCCGCACAGACAUCAUCACUUUGACUCUCGAGCUCUGGCCGACAAAUGAAACAAAGAAAUGGCGAUCUCUUCCGGCUUCUUUUCCGGCGAGUACAAAGGCGAUCUCUUCCGGCCUCUUUUCUUAUUCAAUCCGUCAAUUUUGAUUUGUCGCAACUCUGCCAUGCAUGUUCUUCGUAUUCUCGUUUAAUCAAGGAAGAGUCUCUUCUCGGUUUCAUCUUCUUUCUUCAUCUCCUCUUUAGCCACGAUUUAAGAACGAUGGAAUCAGUGAAAUAAAAACAAAAUAUGGGGUCUCUUUUGUCUCUUAUCAAGCGGCGACACAUUGAGAAAUCAUGUAAGUUGUUCUUGUCUCGUUGUUGUCUCUUAACAAACAGCUUCUUAUCUACAAUACUUGGGGUGUUUAAGCUGUUCUUGUUGUUAUCAUCAAGUCAAUGUUUGCUAAUAUGCAUUUUUCAUGUUGGCGUUGUUGUUCUUGUGUGUAGUUGUAUGUUAUAAAGUUUCCUUCUUUGUCUUGUUAUUGAAGUCAGAAAUAUGUUCGGUCUGUAAAAUUAAACUAGGCACUGUUGCUUGUUAUCCUCAUGGCAGUUGUUUCUUAAUGUUCUGAUCGUAUAAACUCAAGUGACUUACGUCAUAAAUUUUCUAAAAAUUUUUCUUUAUAAUGACAUGUGAUGAGUGGGGGAUUGUAUUACGAUCAAGGAGGAGAAUGAUAUGAGAAUGCAAAGGACACUUGCAUUCCAAUCUAUAAGCUUAAAGACCUCAGUAGAGCUUUGUUUGACUUUGGCUCUUCCACCGAAGAUAAAGAGAGUGUUUUACAUGUGAAGCUGGCUUAGGAAACUAAAGAUGAGUUUGCUGCAGUAUUACAAGUCACUGAGCCAUCUAAAACAAGGUGAGGAAAUAUAGACUUGGCUGGCUUUGACACACCCGCGGGCCUGUACCGCCAAUGCUUGUGCAAGUUGCGGGUCAGGAUUGGGCAGCACUUCUAGUGACCGCAUCCCGCGCGGGCAUGUACCGCCAAGAUCCGCAUUGACCGUGUACCGCGGCGGGGCGGGACAAGGCGGAUCGGUACAACCCAAUUGCCAUCUCUACUCCUAUAUAUUAAUUGAAAAACAGUUGAUUACUCUAGAAAGUGUAAGAUUUUAUUAAUUAAUAUUGCUCAAAAAUCUUACGAGAACGAUACAGAUUUAUUUAGAAGUUAUUGAAAUCACCUAACGAGACAUGGAUUGCAUAAUAAAUUUGCUUUCCUAACCCUAAGCCCCUUUUUAUUCGGCACAACACCGACAUAGAAUAUUUGGAAGUUUCGAUAGACAAUCUAAAAUGGUAACGUUUUUUAAGGUCAUCCCAUUAUUUUUAUUAAAUGGGCCUAGAAAUAUUUUUAAUGAUUAACUAAAUAGGCCACAUAAGUAGUAAAAUGUGUUUUGGUUUAAAAAUUGUUGCAUACCCAAAAUGAAUAUGAACAUCAUAAUUUUCCUUUAAAAUUUUGUCACAAUCAAAAUAUAGGAUUGGGAAAAUAAUCCGAUUCCAAAAAAACCAAACCAAUGUCGAUCCAAAGUAAAGUACUGAACUUUAACCAAAACUGGUGAGAUAUCCGAAUGGGUUCAAAAUUUAUGUAUCUAGAGAACUGGAACCUCACCCGGUCCAAACCGUACUAUUUUAGGUAUCCGAACAAGAUUUAUAUACUUAAACCGGGGCUUCUACCUCUAGUGGUAAAGGGCUUACAGCUGUGAGUACCACCACCUGGGUUCGAAUCCCGGACACUGGGAAAUUAACAUUUCGGCAUCGCUAGAGACAGAGGUCUGACACGUGGUAACACGUGACUAGUCUGGAUCACUUCUGUGAGAUCAAGAAACCUCUGUAGAAUUCAAAAAAAAAAAAUAUUAAUUAUUUUUAAAAUUUGAUAUCUAAAAGUAUAUACAAAAUAUAUAAAACGUUUUUAAGUUUCCAAAAUACUUGGAAAUGUAUACAAAGAGCUAGCCUAUAAGUACAUGUUUAAAAUAGCUAAAUGAUACUUAUAAUACCUAAAAUACUUAAAAUAUAUAUUGAUUUCUUAUCCUAAUAUUUAAACUAAACUAAUUUUUAUGUUAAGUUUAAGUAUUUUGGCAUACAUUAUUCAAAUUUAUAUGCUUUAUAUUAUUUUUAUUUUUAGAUUUUGAAAAAUUUAAAGUUUAUAUAAACUUUUAUUUUUGAAAAAAAAAUUAAUAUGUUAUAUGAAUCCAAACCCGAAUCAAAUCCGCAAAUAUCCGUACCGAACCAAACUCUCAAGGAUUCGAAUCAAAUCAAAUAGUACUCAAAUGUCCACAUCUAAUCAAAUGUAAGAAAUGUAUAUUGUUUAUAAUAUUUAAGUAUAAUAAUUUUUUUUUAAAAAAUCAUCCUGCGCAUAACGUGGAUUAUAUCUAGUUUACACGAAAA